RNAcentral lists this ribosomal RNA (460 nucleotides) under uncultured bacterium. RNAcentral's name for it is "partial 16S ribosomal RNA". It matches the Rfam family "Bacterial small subunit ribosomal RNA", at positions 338 to 795 of the family's 1533-position model. The record is from RNAcentral.
CCUACGGGUGGCAGCAGUGAGGAAUAUUGGUCAAUGGACGAGAGCCUGAACCAGCCAAGUAGCGUGAAGGAUGACUGCCCUAUGGGUUGUAAACUUCUUUCAUAAAGGAAUAAAACGAGGCACGUGUGCCUUUUUGCAUGUACUUUAUGAAUAAGGAUCGGCUAAUUCCGUGCCAGCAGCCGCGGUAAUACGGAGGAUCCGAGCGUUAUCCGGAUUUAUUGGGUUUAAAGGGAGCGUAGAGGGGUUGUUAAGUCAGUUGUGAAAGUUUGCGGCUCAACCGUAAAAUUGCAAUUGAUACUGGCAGUCUUGAGUACAGUGGAGGUAGGCGGAAUUCGUGGUGUAGCGGUGAAAUGCUUAGAUAUCACGAAGAACCCCGAUUGCGAAGGCAGUUGACUGGACUGCAACUGACACUGAGGCUCGAAAGUGUGGGUAUCAAACAGGAUUAGAUACCCCUGUAGUC